Long non-coding RNA from Scylla paramamosain (green mud crab), 3979 nucleotides. RefSeq lists it as uncharacterized. The record is from RefSeq and is a predicted model, not a curated record. The transcript has 8 exons. NCBI's taxonomy places the organism in Eukaryota, Metazoa, Arthropoda, Malacostraca, Decapoda, Portunidae.
CACACACACACACACACACGGGGCAGUGAAGCGGAUGGAAGUGCAUUGUUAUCACCACCACACCACACCACACCACCACGCACCACGGCAUCCUCUCGUCCCGCCCUGCCGCGCUGACCCCCGCCAGGCCCUGCCCCGGCUCGCCGCUGCUAAGACUCAUACGUGAAGGAAAACCAGAAUUACCCACAAAAAUAGAUAAAUAACCCCCAAAAUGCUUGAAAUAAGGCAGAAGGAAGUUUAAAUUUACAACCCCGUUCUGAGCGCCCACCAGCAGGACCCAGACCGAGACCAAGACCUUCCCGCUCUCUCCCCGCGUCUCCUCGUUAAUAUUUCCGUCAAUUUCCAGGGUUUUCCGGACAUUUCCAGUGAGUCGUCCAGUCAACUCUUCAGUCUUUCAGUCAGUCUAUCUAUCAGUCCUUUUAGUGGUUAACAAAGCACCAAAGAGCAGACGAAGUACCCAGCCCCGCCCUACGUAGAGAACAGUACCUGCAGAGGGGCGAGGCGGGACAGAGAGGCGGGGUAAUAAGGUAACAGAGGGUCCGCGUGGAGUUAAUGGGUUACGUGUUCACCUGGCUGAUUCACGGGCGCUGUGCAAUGACUGAAGUAAUGAGUGGAGAGUACUGUGCCUGAAUGAACUGAGAGAGAAAACCUGAUGUGACCUUAAUGCAUUGAAAGAGCACGGCUGUUUUGCGGGGAGACUGACCUAGUACAAAAAAUAAAUAAAUAAAUAAAUAAAUAGGUAAAUAGAUUGAUUAAGAAUGUUGGGAAAAGAUGGUGAGGAAAAGAAGGGAAGAGAAAAAUGUAAGAAUGCAGUGAAAAAGGGAGGAUGAGGAGGAAGGAAAGCAAAAAUAAAAUUGAAGGAGAAAAGUAAAAAGUAAAAAAAAUGAAAAAAAUGAGGAAGGGAAAAGAAAAGGGAGAAGGUGAAGAAAAAAUGAGGAUCUAAAUGAGAAAGAAAGAAGAAAAUAAAAAUAUAGAUAAAGAAGGAAAAGAAAGAACUGAGAAAGACGAUGAGAAAAAGGAAAAAGAAGGGAAGAAAAAGAAGGAAAGCGGUAAUCCAGAUGAGAAAGAAAGAGAGAAAAGAGAAAAUAUACAAAAAAGAAAACAAUUUUGAAAGACGAUGAGAUGAGAAAAGGAAUAGAAAAAGAAAACGAACAAAAAAGUGGAAAACUAAUAAAAAAAAAAAGCAAAGAAAAAAUUAGGAAAACGAUGAAAAAAAUGAAAAGAAAAAGAGAAGAACAAAAAAUGAAAAGCUAACCAAAAAAAGCAACAAAAAAACAAAACUGGAAAACGAUGAGAAAAAAAAAUAAGACAAACAAAAACUUUUAACCCAACAAAAAAAUAAAUAAAUAAAUAAAACAAACCAAAGAAAAAAAUAUAUACUAAAACUUGCAAGACUAUGAGAAAGGGAAGAAAACGGAAGAGGAAGAGGAAGAGGGAAACAAGAUGGCGGCGCAUUUUUGAAGUUUCCCCCUCCUCCCUUGAGAUGAGAUGGUGAAAUAAGAGGAGAGGAGAAGGAGAAAGAUGAUAAAAGAGGCAGGAGAGGAAGAUGAACAAUGAAGGAAAAAGAGAAGAGGAGGAGGAGAAGGAGAAAGACAACAAGGAAAUGAAAAAACAAGAAAAGGAGAAUGAAGAAGACAAGAGACAGGACGAAGAUGAGGAGAUGGAGACAGAAUGAAAAGGAGGAGGAAAGCAAACAAGAGGAAGAAGAAGUCCUCUUACUGACACAUGGAGAGUCUUCUUGGAGACCGGGGGCUGACGUGGCAGCAGUGGCGUCAACAGGGCAGUGUGUGUCGGCAGGGAGGAGAGGGAAGAGGCGGAAUGGCAUGGAAGAGGAAGAUUAUCAAGGUGGAUAAAAAAGUAAGAAAGGAGGAGGCAGAAGAAAAUGCUGAAAGAAGACAAGAAGAAAAUGUUACUAGGGAAAACAGCUUGAAAGAUCAACACCAAGGAGAAGAGGAGCCUUGAGAAAGAGGAAAACAAAAGAAACAGCAUUAGCCCAGCAGAAGAGGAGGAGGAACAAGCAGGUGUUAAGGGGUAAGAAAAAGAGAGAGAGCAACCAACCUAGCAAGAAAGUCCAUCACCACCAAUGAACCAAAACACCACCACCACCACCACCACCACCAACUGCAGCUCAUCAUCAUCAUUAUCACACCUCAAACACACACACGUCUGUCUGUCUCCUUCACCAUAAGUCUCUAUCAACAGGCCACCAAGCUGACAUCUACAGGUGCAGCGGAGACCAAACACACACACACACACACACAGUCAGCAUAUCUUAACAUAACAGGGAGUUGCAUGUGGCUAACAAGCACACCUAUUGUUUUGCUAUUGUAUACACCACAGAAGAGCAGAGUGUGGGAGAAAUGACCACUGAUGUAAAUCUAGCAUUGCACCACUUCAGAUUCAUUCUCUCUCUCUCUCUCUCUCUCUCUCUCUCUCUCUCUCUCUCUCUCUCUCUCUCUCUCUCUCUCUCUCUCUCUCUCUCUCACCACAGCCCACAGACCCCACAGGAUGUCCCCCACAGUAUGUUUAUAAACCACAGUGACUCACCACAGUGACUCACAUAGAAAGUCUCUCUCUCUCUCUCUCUCUCUCUCUCUCUCUCUCUCUCUCUCUCUCUCUCUCUCUCUCUCUCUCACCACAGACUCACAGGAUGCCUCCCAGUCUAUCUAUAAACCACAGUGACUCAUCACAGCCUGUCACAUCAACACUGUCUAUAUUACCCACCACUAUAUUAUUAGCCUGGCCAGAUCAGUCUCCCAGAAAACAAAAACAACUACACACAGCUGCACUCUUGAUCUUUGUACUUCACUAGAUUACAAUGAGAUCUAGACACUCAAAACAUUCCCCACUCAUACCACUCUGCUCUUCCUCAUCCUUAUCUUCCUCCUCCUCCUCCUCCUCCUCUAAACACACACACACACACACACACACACACACACACACAUGCCAACACUUACCAAUAUCUGAGGUGUCUUGAGGCCUCCUGUGUCACUGCCUGCCCCAGACACCCUGCUGCUGGGUACUCUAUUGUGCUGCAAGGAGAAAUGUGUCACUUUAGUACAUCUCUGGGAACUUGUACCACACACACACUGACUGACUGCUUUUAUCCACUCCAGUUCUCUUUCCUCCUGUACCUAUUUAAUUGUUCCUCUUCCUCUAUCCACUUAGCUCUUCCUCUUAUCCACUUCAUUCUUUCUCCUCUUUUACACAUGUACCACUGACCAAAAAAUGACUGUUUCUAUUCAUUUCAGUCCUCUUUCCAUUUCUCAAUCCACUUCGCUCUUCCUCGUCUUCCACUGACUGGUGGACUGGUGGCUUGGUGGGAUUAAUGUGGUGCAUAAUAAGUGCUGCACUGCAUGUUGAAUAUAUAAAUACAUGCAUACAUUAUACCAUGGCUGUCUUCCCCACACCACAAAGGAGGGUGGCCAAGAUAAGACACACAACUGUCACAUUCACUCAUCUCUUUGUCCCUCAACCCGUGACAGGGAAGAGAAAGUAACGUACUCCUGUCUCAAAAUAUGAAUGACACAAAAAAUGCUUGGUGAGAUUAACUUCUAAUGUUUUAUGACUACUACUACUACUACUACUACUACUACUACUACUACUACUGCUGCUUUUGUGACUAUUACUACUACUACUACCUGUCCAUCUAUAUACCAUACAUACCCCAUACAAGGUGGCUCAUACAAAGCACUACUACUACUAAUACUCAAGUUCUACUACCAUUACCUCUACUACUACAAUACUACCACUACCAUCACUACCACCUCUGCUACUACUACUAACACCACUAGCACCACUCACUUUGUACUCUUUGUUGUAGCCUUCCUUGACACACUCAGGGCACUCCCAGCUGUUUGGCAGGUCCUCGUUCACAAUGCCGUCCGCAUCAGGGAACUGUGGAAGAGAAGAAUGAUGCAAAGUUUGAUUGGUGUUAGUGUUCAUGAUAUGCUGACCAAUAAAUGUGCUGGAAUUGUUA